GAUGAACGCUGGCGGCGUGCUUAACACAUGCAAGUCGAACGAUGAAGCUCAGCUUGCUGGGUGGAUUAGUGGCGAACGGGUGAGUAACACGUGAGUAACCUGCUCUUAACUCUGGGAUAAGCCUGGGAAACUAGGUCUAAUACCGUAUAGGAGCGUCCACCGCACGGUGGGUGUUGGAAAGAUUUAGCGCAUUUGGAUGGACUCGCGGCGUAUCAGCUUGGUGGUGGGGUAAUGGCUCACCAAGGCGACGACGGGUAGCCGGCCUGAGAGGGUGAACGGCCACACUGGGACUGAGAGACGGCCCAGACUCCUACGGGAGGCAGCAGUGGGGAAUAUUGCACAAUGGGCGAAAGCCUGAUGCAGAGGCGCCGCGUGAGGGAUGACGGCCUUCGGGUUGUAAACCUCUUUCAGUAGGGAAGAAGCGAAAGUGACGGUACCUGAAGAAGAAGCACCGGCUAACUACGUG
This 466-nucleotide ribosomal RNA is filed under the name uncultured bacterium. Its description in RNAcentral is "partial 16S ribosomal RNA". It matches the Rfam family "Bacterial small subunit ribosomal RNA", at positions 28 to 507 of the family's 1533-position model. The record is from RNAcentral.